UGCAGUCGAACGAUGAUCCUGGGGCUUUGGUUCUGGGUGAUUAGUGGCGAACGGGUGAGUAACACGUGAGUAACCUGCCCCAGACUCUGGGAUAACUCCGGGAAACCGGGGCUAAUACCGGAUAUGACCUGCGCGCGCAUGUGUCGUGGGUGGAAAGAUUUUUUGGUUUGGGAUGGGCUCGCGGCCUAUCAGCUUGUUGGUGGGGUGAUGGCCUACCAAGGCGACGACGGGUAGCCGGCCUGAGAGGGUGAUCGGCCACACUGGGACUGAGACACGGCCCAGACUCCUACGGGAGGCAGCAGUGGGGAAUAUUGCACAAUGGGCGCAAGCCUGAUGCAGCGACGCCGCGUGAGGGAUGACGGCCUUCGGGUUGUAAACCUCUUUCAGCAGGGAAGAAGCGGAAGUGACGGUACCUGCAGAAGAAGCACCGGCUAACUACGUGCCAGCAGCCGCGGUAAUACGUAGGGUGCGAGCGUUGUCCGGAAUUAUUGGGCGUAAAGAGCUUGUAGGCGGUUUGUCGCGUCUGCUGUGAAAAUCCGGGGCUCAACUCCGGACUUGCAGUGGGUACGGGCAGACUAGAGUGUGGUAGGGGAGACUGGAAUUCCUGGUGUAGCGGUGGAAUGCGCAGAUAUCAGGAGGAACACCGAUGGCGAAGGCAGGUCUCUGGGCCACUACUGACGCUGAGAAGCGAAAGCAUGGGGAGCGAACAGGAUUAGAUACCCUGGUAGUCCAUGCCGUAAACGUUGGGCGCUAGGUGUGGGGCUCAUUCCACGAGUUCCGUGCCGCAGCUAACGCAUUAAGCGCCCCGCCUGGGGAGUACGGCCGCAAGGCUAAAACUCAAAGGAAUUGACGGGGGCCCGCACAAGCGGCGGAGCAUGCGGAUUAAUUCGAUGCAACGCGAAGAACCUUACCAAGGCUUGACAUACACCGGAACAGUGCAGAGAUGUGCUGGCCUUUUGGGCUGGUGUACAGGUGGUGCAUGGUUGUCGUCAGCUCGUGUCGUGAGAUGUUGGGUUAAGUCCCGCAACGAGCGCAACCCUCGUUCCAUGUUGCCAGCAGCGCUUUCGGGUGGCUGGGGACUCAUGGGAGACUGCCGGGGUCAACUCGGAGGAAGGUGGGGAUGACGUCAAAUCAUCAUGCCCCUUAUGUCUUGGGCUUCACGCAUGCUACAAUGGCCGGUACAAAGGGUUGCGAUGCCGUGAGGUGGAGCGAAUCCCAAAAAACCGGUCUCAGUUCGGAUUGGGGUCUGCAACUCGACCCCAUGAAGUCGGAGUCGCUAGUAAUCGCAGAUCAGCAACGCUGCGGUGAAUACGUUCCCGGGCCUUGUACACACCGCCCGUCAAGUCACGAAAGUCGGUAACACCCGAAGCCGGUGGCCCAACCCUUGUGGGGGGA
RNAcentral lists this ribosomal RNA (1395 nucleotides) under Intrasporangium sp. RNAcentral's name for it is "bacterial SSU rRNA". It matches the Rfam family "Bacterial small subunit ribosomal RNA". Lineage: Bacteria; Bacillati; Actinomycetota; Actinomycetes; Micrococcales; Intrasporangiaceae. The record is from RNAcentral.